Molecule: ribosomal RNA, 214 nt
Filed under: Campeiostachys nutans
Lineage: Eukaryota; Viridiplantae; Streptophyta; Magnoliopsida; Poales; Poaceae
Description: Elymus nutans partial small subunit ribosomal RNA
Rfam family: Eukaryotic small subunit ribosomal RNA
Source: RNAcentral
GGAUCAAUAUGUUGGUCGUGCCUUGGUACUUACUAUCUUAUUGGUUUCUCCCUUCUGACGAACCAUGAUGUCAUUAAUUUGGUGUCGUGGGGAAUCAGGACCGUUACUUUGAAAAAAUUAGAGUGUUUAAAGCAGGCUCACGCUUGAAUACAUUAGCAUGGAAUAAUGAAAUAGGACGUUUGAUUCUAUUUUGUUGGUUUCUAGGAUCGACGUA